AUUGAACGCUGGCGGCAUGCCUUACACAUGCAAGUCGAACGGCAGCGCGGGGGCAACCCUGGCGGCGAGUGGCGAACGGGUGAGUAGUAUAUCGGAACGUGCCCUGGAGUGGGGGAUAACUAGUCGAAAGACUAGCUAAUACCGCAUACGAUCUACGGAUGAAAGUGGGGGACCGCAAGGCCUCACGCUCCAGGAGCGGCCGAUAUCUGAUUAGCUAGUUGGUGGGGUAAAAGCUCACCAAGGCGACGAUCAGUAGCUGGUCUGAGAGGACGACCAGCCACACUGGGACUGAGACACGGCCCAGACUCCUACGGGAGGCAGCAGUGGGGAAUUUUGGACAAUGGGGGAAACCCUGAUCCAGCAAUGCCGCAUGUGUGAAGAAGGCCUUCGGGUUGUAAAGCACUUUUGUCAGGAACGAAGCGGUGGGGGCUAAUAUCC
This 438-nucleotide ribosomal RNA is filed under the name uncultured bacterium. Its description in RNAcentral is "bacterial SSU rRNA". It matches the Rfam family "Bacterial small subunit ribosomal RNA", at positions 29 to 466 of the family's 1533-position model. The record is from RNAcentral.